This 336-nucleotide unclassified non-coding RNA is filed under the name uncultured fungus. RNAcentral describes it as "partial contains small subunit ribosomal RNA, internal transcribed spacer 1, and 5.8S ribosomal RNA". The stretch from base 1 to 73 matches the Rfam family "Eukaryotic small subunit ribosomal RNA", at positions 1759 to 1831 of the family's 1831-position model. The record is from RNAcentral. Lineage: Eukaryota; Fungi.
GCAAACUUGGUCAUUUAGAGGAAGUAAAAGUCGUAACAAGGUUUCCGUAGGUGAACCUGCGGAAGGAUCAUUAACGUAUCUCUGGCGGCGAGGGCGCGCCCCGCUCCGGUCCCAGCGGCCGUGAAGCGGGCGCUCCCGAGCCUGCCCGACCCUUUGCAAACCCACCGUGCACUCAUGUCGGCGGAGGCCUCGCCCCCCCAAAAAGGGUGGGAAAGGGGCCCGAGCCGGAUCACAAACCCCAAGUGAAAGAAUGACGAGCGGACGUUGUGCCGCCUAAAACACGUAACAACUUUCAACAACGGAUCUCUUGGCUCUCGCAUCGAUGAAGAACGCAGC